ACGCUGGCGGCACGCCUAACACAUGCAAGUCGAACGCAGUAGCAAUACUGAGUGGCAAACGGGUGAGUAUAAUGUGGGAAUCUGCCUUUUGGUUCGGAAUAACACGGGGAAACUUGUGCUAAUACCGAAUAAGCCCUUACGGGGAAAGUUUUAAUGCCGAAAGAUGAGCCCGCACUUGAUUAGCUAGUUGGUAAGGUAAAAGCUUACCAAGGCAACGAUCAAUAGCUGUUCUUAGAGGAAGACCAGCCACAUUGGGACUGAGACACGGCCCAGACUCCUACGGGAGGCAGCAGUGGGGAAUCUUGCACAAUGGGGGAAACCCUGAUGCAGCGAUGCCGCGUGAGUGAAGAAGGCCUUUGGGUUGUAAAACUCUUUCGUCGGGGAAGAAAAUGACUGUACCCGAAUAAGAAGGUCCGGCUAACUUCGUGCCAGCAGCCGCGGUAAUACGAAGGGACCUAGCGUAGUUCGGAAUUACUGGGCUUAAAGAGCUCGUAGGUGGUUAAAAAAGUUGAUGGUGAAAUCCCAAGGCUUAACCUUGGAACCGCCAUCAAAACUUUUUAGCUAGAGUGUGAUAGAGGUAAGUGGAAUUUCUAGUGUAGAGGUGAAAUUCGUAGAUAUUAGAAAGAACACCAAAUGCGAAGGCAACUUACUGGGUCACUACUGACACUGAGGAGCGAAAGCAUGGGUAGCGAAGAGGAUUAGAUACCCUCGUAGUCCAUGCCGUAAACGAUGUGUGCUAGACGUUGGAAAUAUAUUUUUCAGUGUCGCAGCGAAAGCAUUAAGCACACCGCCUGGGGAGUACGACCGCAAGGUUAAAACUCAAAUGAAUUGACGGGGACCCGCACAAGCAGUGGAGCAUGUGGUUUAAUUCGAAGAUACGCGCAGAACCUUACCAACACUUGACAUGUUCGUCGCGAGACUAAGAGAUUAGUCUUUUCAGUUCGGCUGGACGAAACACAGGUGCUGCAUGGCUGUCGUCAGCUCGUGUCGUGAGAUGUUGGGUUAAGUCCCGCAACGAGCGCAACCCUCACUUUUAGUUGCCAUCAUUAAGUUGGGCACUCUGAAAGAACUGCCAGUGAUAAGCUGGAGGAAGGUGGGGAUGACGUCAAGUCCUCAUGGCCCUUACGUGUUGGGCUACACACGUGCUACAAUGGCAUCUACAACAGGAAGCAAAACGGCAACGUUAAGCAAAUCCCGAAAAGAUGCCUCAGUUCGGAUUGCACUCUGCAACUCGAGUGCAUGAAGCUGGAAUUACUAGUAAUCGUGGAUCAGCGUGCCACGGUGAAUGCGUUCCCGGGUCUUGUACACACCGCC
RNAcentral lists this ribosomal RNA (1314 nucleotides) under uncultured Alphaproteobacteria bacterium. RNAcentral describes it as "uncultured alpha proteobacterium 16S ribosomal RNA". It matches the Rfam family "Bacterial small subunit ribosomal RNA", at positions 33 to 1394 of the family's 1533-position model. The record is from RNAcentral. Lineage: Bacteria; Pseudomonadati; Pseudomonadota; Alphaproteobacteria.